AGCUUCGCGUUUACCCCUUCCUGCGUUUCAUCUAUCAACACUAUAUCAUUUGCGAAAAGCAUACACCAAAGAAUAUCAUCUUAAAUAUUAAGUUUGUGAUCUUCGCUAGAUUGCUCCGGUCAUUAGUGUGGAUAAGUAUGUAAAUGGAUAGAGACAGGAAGCAAACACCAGAUGUAUGUGGUUCACCCAGAUUGGCUACGUCUACGGAGUAAAGGAGUUCUCAUUAAUUGUGAAGGGUUUACACAGUAUAUAGGUUCAAGCUCUCCUUUAGUGAGUACAAGUGAAUGAUUUAGUACAAAUGAUAUUAGGAAAUAUUGUGGAAGAAUAAUCUCGUAAUCACGAAACUUUUAAGCCAAUUAUUUAACAACCACUAUGCAUAAUUCUUAAAAAAAAUGAGUAUAAAAUUAACCUCUUUUGAAAAACGAACGAAGAAAGAUGAAAGCUUAAGCCAAGGAAUAUAACUAUGUUGAACUCAAUUAUUUGACAUUAAUUACACAAACCCAAUUCCAUAUAUAUAGCCAGACAGAAGCUUUAUCCUAGAGAGAGAAACAAUGCCCAAAUGAUUAUAUAAUCUCUAGACUGAGUGUGAAUUCAGAGCAUGAAGGGGAAGUGAGUUCCUUGGUUCCCACAUUGUUGAGACUAAAUCUCAAAACUUUGCCAAGCAUUACAGGAAACCAUGGAAAGAAUAAAAAUGACCACAAAGAUUAACCACAGGUGGUGUUUACAGACUAAGCUUAAAAACAACUGUCAUCUAUUAAGCAAAACUUGAACUCCUUGACAUUGCAACCGAAAAAUAACAAUUUAACUUGCACAGUAAACGAAUAUGAGUAAAGUUACAGAACUCAAUGGAUUACAUAUCCCAGUAAAAAAGCGAAACAUCAGUGUUUGGGAAGUUACCUUAUUUGAAAUGUCGGGAGCAUCAGGUGUACAUACAGGGUAGACAAUCCUUGCAAAAUUCAGGGCUUCAAAAUAAAAUAAAAAAUAAAUUCAAAAGAAAUCAAAACUAUUAAUCCUAACAAUUGUUUAGUAAAAGAUAAAACAAUCUUUCCAUCAAACAAAUUUGAGAAACAAAAAAAGGGAAAUAAAUUUAAGUUGAAUAGAGGUGACAAAUGCCUACCCAGAAAUCCAAACGAAAUCCCCAAAAAUUACGCCCCCAAAACCCUAGAAAUCACCAAAGUUGAAAACCAGCGCUACACUGGGAUCAUCCACACAGCGAUGAACUCCGAUCAUUGUCACCGAUCUCCAUCUUCUUCCAAAGCCAAAACCCUUUUAAGAAAAAGAGGGUAAUGAAUAUGAUAAAGCCAGUAAUGAAUGGAAUAACCCAAUUUCUAUCGCCAAUCACCCUUGUUGAGUGAUGAUUCACAUACUUCCUCAUAUUUGUUUAUGGGUUCCUAUCCAGCAAAAUUUCGACUUAGUACCCAAAAACUGUAUCAGCUCACGAACACAUAGAGGUUUAUCAAAUUCAAAGCAAAACCCACAUAUAUUCUGAAGAUUCUAGAGUUAAAAGAGGAGCAAGGAGGUUCGGUUACGGAACCCAAAACGCCAUUUUAAUGAGCAAAUGAAUAUCUAAACUGGGGUUAACAAUUUUCAGCAAUAAAAAACAUGUCUUUCGAUCAAAGUUGCAUAAAUUACAGAAUUUUGGGAUUAAGGAGGAACAAAAAGCCCAAAUUCCAAUCAAGAAAAAUAAAAAAAAAUUGUAUGUAAAUUUAAGCUUUACCUGUAGAUUGGCAGCAGCAAAUGCAUACUGGAUCCAACGGGAGCCACGUGAGAGAACGUUGUUUUCCUCUUAAUGUAAAGAUAUUUACCUACCAAAGUCCAGCAGCUAAUCUUCUGAAUAUGAUCAGAAGAUUACAAGAAAGGAGAACGUACUGUACACUGGCCUGCUGCUAUUUUGGAAUAUGAUCAAAUUGCAAUUCCAUCAGCAGUUGUACUUGUGAAGCUUACUAGUAUUGUGUAUCCCGAAUCCAUCUUUUGUUUGUGCUUGGAAUUGAUGUGGUGGUCGGAUUGCAGAUGGACAAUUUAUCAGUAAAG
RNAcentral lists this long non-coding RNA (2031 nucleotides) under Malus domestica (apple). RNAcentral's name for it is "long non-coding RNA (MDOM_LNC003190)". The record is from RNAcentral. Lineage: Eukaryota; Viridiplantae; Streptophyta; Magnoliopsida; Rosales; Rosaceae.